AACAGGAUUAGAUACCCUGGUAGUCCACGCCGUAAACGAUGUCGACUUGGAGGUUGUGCCCUUGAGGCGUGGCUUCCGGAGCUAACGCGUUAAGUCGACCGCCUGGGGAGUACGGCCGCAAGGUUAAAACUCAAAUGAAUUGACGGGGGCCCGCACAAGCGGUGGAGCAUGUGGUUUAAUUCGAUGCAACGCGAAGAACCUUACCUACUCUUGACAUCCAGAGAACUUUCCAGAGAUGGAUUGGUGCCUUCGGGAACUCUGAGACAGGUGCUGCAUGGCUGUCGUCAGCUCGUGUUGUGAAAUGUUGGGUUAAGUCCCGCAACGAGCGCAACCCUUAUCCUUUGUUGCCAGCGAUUCGGUCGGGAACUCAAAGGAGACUGCCAGUGAUAAACUGGAGGAAGGUGGGGAUGACGUCAAGUCAUCAUGGCCCUUACGAGUAGGGCUACACACGUGCUACAAUGGCAUAUACAAAGAGAAGCGACCUCGCGAGAGCAAGCGGACCUCAUAAAGUAUGUCGUAGUCCGGAUUGGAGUCUGCAACUCGACUCCAUGAAGUCGGAAUCGCUAGUAAUCGUGGAUCAGAAUGCCACGGUGAAUACGUUCCCGGGCCUUGUACACACCGCCCGUCACACCAUGGGAGUGGGUUGCAAAAGAAGUAGGUAGCUUAACCUUCGGGAGGGCGCUUACCACUUUGUGAUCCAUGACUGGGGUGAAGUCGUAACAAGGUAACC
This 730-nucleotide ribosomal RNA is filed under the name uncultured bacterium. Its description in RNAcentral is "bacterial SSU rRNA". It matches the Rfam family "Bacterial small subunit ribosomal RNA", at positions 771 to 1501 of the family's 1533-position model. The record is from RNAcentral.